RNAcentral lists this ribosomal RNA (244 nucleotides) under uncultured bacterium. Its description in RNAcentral is "partial 16S ribosomal RNA". It matches the Rfam family "Bacterial small subunit ribosomal RNA", at positions 529 to 772 of the family's 1533-position model. The record is from RNAcentral.
AGGGCGCGAGCGUUGUCCGGAAUUAUUGGGCGUAAAGGGCUUGUAGGCGGCUUGUCGCGUCUGCCGUGAAAUCCUGGGGCUUAACCUUGGGCGUGCGGUGGGUACGGGCUGGCUUGAGUGCGGUAGGGGAGACUGGAAUUCCUGGUGUAGCGGUGGAAUGCGCAGAUAUCAGGAGGAACACCGGUGGCGAAGGCGGGUCUCUGGGCCGUUACUGACGCUGAGGAGCGAAAGCGUGGGGAGCGAA